RNAcentral lists this ribosomal RNA (1392 nucleotides) under Triticum aestivum (bread wheat). Its description in RNAcentral is "partial small subunit ribosomal RNA". Lineage: Eukaryota; Viridiplantae; Streptophyta; Magnoliopsida; Poales; Poaceae. The record is from RNAcentral.
AUGAAGAAGAAGGAGGCUGCGGGAGAACGGAGUAAAUCCAGUGGAAUCACGCGGAAGCGGGCACGGAGUGGGGACGUGACCGCCGCCGAUCUCAUCAGCCGCCAACCGGACGCCAUCCUCUGCACUAUCAUCUCUUUACUCCCCACCAAGGACGGCGGCCGCACGCCGGCCCUCUCCCGCCGAUGGCGCCACCUCUGGCGCUCCGCACCUCUCAACCUCGAGGUCAUCACGUCCCUCCCGGUCUUCCUUCGCCACGCCGUCCCGCCCUCCGCCGUGUCCAAGAUAAUCUCCCUACACCCUGGCCCCGCCCGCCGAUUCUCCUUCCUCUUCCUCCGGGCCGGCGAUCUCUACGCUCAGGUGGAGAGCUGGUUCGACUCCCGAGCCCUCUGCAACCUCGAGGAGCUCGAUAUCGGCUAUGAGUACCUCUCUGCACGUAAGACCAGCUACCCGCUGCCGCAAUCCGUGCUCCGCUCCUCCUCAUCCACCCUACUCGUUGCCAAGAUCAGCUAUUGUGAUUUCCCUAAGAUAAUCGCACCGUCCAUGAAUUUUCCCCUCCUCAAGGAGCUCUCCUUGAGGUACGUUUCCAUCAGGGGGGAUGUAUUCCAUGGCUUGCUCUCCGGCUGCCAUGCCUUGGAGAGCUUAUACAUGCUCCAAGUUCAGGCUGCUGGUUGCCUCCGUGUUAGUUCGCCAACUAUUAGGAGCAUUGGCUUCCGUGAUAACUCUGGUGAAAAAGCAGAGCUGGUCAUCGAGGAUGCUCCUCGCCUUGAAAGGUUAUUGUUACCAUAUUGUCACCGGGAUGAUUGUGUGACUAUCCAGGUUAUUAGCGCACCUAAACUGGUGAUAUUGGGGCCAUUAUCACCAGACUUCUGCAAACUCCUGGACUUGCAGGAAAUGAACCCAGUCAGCUUGGCAAACUCGAUAUGCACCGUGAAGGUUUUGGCCCUUGGGUGUUCUAAUCAUCAAUUGAAUGCAGUUCUUGACAUCCUCAGGAUGUUCCCCUGUUUGGAAAAGCUCUAUGUCACUUCUCACUCACACGGUAGCAUGCUUGAGCAAAAUGAGGAUCAGUAUGACCCACCAUAUCCAGUGGAGUGCCUUGAGACCCACCUAAAGGAAGUGGUGUUCAAGUUAUUCAUAGGCUAUGAGCAACAAGUUAACUUUGCCAGGUUCUUUGUUUUGAAUGCAAAAGUGCUAAACAAAAUUGAAUUUCAAGGAUGUGGGGACUACAACAAUGAAAUGGUGGCUCGUCAACACAGGCUGCUCCAAGUCGAAAACAGAGCUUCUCGAGAUGCUCAUUUUGAAUUCAGAAAUAUUUAUUUUUGUAUUGAUGAACAUGUCGAGAAGCAUGUCCAUAAUUUGUCACUGGCCGACCCCUUCUCAGACAGCCAUAGAUAG